UUGACUCUUCCUCAGACCCCCAUCUUCCUGUCAAUGCAGUCACAUGGUUUGUGGCUUCUUCUGCUUCACUUCCAUCAGACCAAGAGGCCACAAGACUCCUCUUUUGUUUCCUGAGGUAGGUCCCACAUUCAGUUUUAAUAUGACCAUACCCAUUGCACUCAUAGCACUGAACAUCUUUGGGCUUUUCUUCAGACUUUGGUUUCUUACCAAAGCUAUUGGAUUUGUCAGAUGUGAUGUUCUUGACAUUUCCCUUUGCUCUCACAUCUACCCUUUUUAUCAGUCUGUUGAACUGUCUUCCCAGCAUUGUUAUCUCAUUUG
This 318-nucleotide long non-coding RNA is filed under the name Lathyrus oleraceus (garden pea). RNAcentral's name for it is "Pisum sativum (pea) long non-coding RNA (PSAT_LNC028610)". Lineage: Eukaryota; Viridiplantae; Streptophyta; Magnoliopsida; Fabales; Fabaceae. The record is from RNAcentral.